RNAcentral lists this transfer RNA (73 nucleotides) under Mus musculus (house mouse). Its description in RNAcentral is "tRNA-Ser". Lineage: Eukaryota; Metazoa; Chordata; Mammalia; Rodentia; Muridae. The record is from RNAcentral.
GGAGACAUGGCUCAGUGGUUAAGAGCACUGACUGCUCUUCCAGAGGUCCUGAGUUCAAUUCCCAGCAACCACA